GAUGAACGCUAGCUACAGGCUUAACACAUGCAAGUCGAGGGGCAGCGGGAUUGAAGCUUGCUUCAAUUGCCGGCGACCGGCGCACGGGUGAGUAACGCGUAUCCAACCUUCCGUACACUCAGGGAUAGCCUUUCGAAAGAAAGAUUAAUACCUGAUGGUAUGAUGAGAUUGCAUGAUAGCAUCAUUAAAGAUUUAUCGGUGUACGAUGGGGAUGCGUUCCAUUAGGUAGUAGGCGGGGUAACGGCCCACCUAGCCGACGAUGGAUAGGGGUUCUGAGAGGAAGGUCCCCCACAUUGGAACUGAGACACGGUCCAAACUCCUACGGGAGGCAGCAGUGAGGAAUAUUGGUCAAUGGACGAGAGUCUGAACCAGCCAAGUAGCGUGAAGGAUGACUGCCCUAUGGGUUGUAAACUUCUUUUAUACGGGAAUAAAGUGAGGCACGUGUGCCUUUUUGUAUGUACCGUAUGAAUAAGGAUCGGCUAAUUCCGUGCCAGCAG
This 497-nucleotide ribosomal RNA is filed under the name uncultured bacterium. RNAcentral's name for it is "bacterial SSU rRNA". It matches the Rfam family "Bacterial small subunit ribosomal RNA", at positions 28 to 514 of the family's 1533-position model. The record is from RNAcentral.